GACUUACAUUGACAAUUGCAUCCAAAAUUUUGUAUCAAGUGGAUACACAGAUUAGAUGUUACAACUUGUUAAAGCUUAUUGAUUAGAAUAGGGGCUUAUAAGAAAAAUCUAAAUUGUUUAAAUAUGAAAGUAACAAGGUAAUUGAGAUUUGUGUAUGAUUAAGACUACUAAGAAGAGUAUUUUUUUAGCACUUUUGGAUUGAAAUUAAAUUUAUAUUCUUCUCAUAUGUAUGAAAUCUAUAAGUGUUUCAUUGAUACUUGUGAAACACAACCUCACCUUCCACAACUAGGUGCCUAGUGCAUUCCUAAACAAGACAACACACAAUACAACAACGCAAUCUUUUAUUCAUCUUCUACUUUAAUACAUACUAAAUUAUAUGCUCCUUUUAGAUUUAUUUUUGUGUAGAUCUUAGGUUGUUUCAAUUAAUCGAG
RNAcentral lists this long non-coding RNA (431 nucleotides) under Physcomitrium patens. Its description in RNAcentral is "long non-coding RNA (PPAT_LNC003144)". Lineage: Eukaryota; Viridiplantae; Streptophyta; Bryopsida; Funariales; Funariaceae. The record is from RNAcentral.